AAAAACCCAAAAGUUUAAGCUGAUAGACGACAAAAUUCUUUUAUAUUAUAUACUGGUUAACUUUGUUUAAUAAUCGAAUGGGUGACAUUUUUAUGUUUGGUCUAAGAGGUCAUAAAUUUUGAGGUGCAAAUAAAAUGAAUUACAAAUUAUACCGGCUUGUUAGUUGACUGAAUUAAUAUUGUCCAAUAAUGAGCCAUUUGGAUCAUAUAGGUAAAAAGUGAAUUUUUUUUUUGGUUAAGAGAUAUUAUGAAGCCAUUUGGAU
Molecule: long non-coding RNA, 262 nt
Filed under: Ananas comosus (pineapple)
Lineage: Eukaryota; Viridiplantae; Streptophyta; Magnoliopsida; Poales; Bromeliaceae
Description: long non-coding RNA (ACOM_LNC027465)
Source: RNAcentral